UCACAACUUUUGCCUGAAGUGCUUUGAGAAAUGGGUUGGUCAAGGGAAACGCACUUGUGCCAUAUGUCGAACUUCGAUUCCUUCUAAAAUGGCGAGCAACCCUAGAAUCAACUCAUCACUAGUAAUCGCCAUCAGA
RNAcentral lists this microRNA precursor (136 nucleotides) under Helianthus annuus (common sunflower). RNAcentral's name for it is "miR3440 stem-loop (han-MIR3440)". Lineage: Eukaryota; Viridiplantae; Streptophyta; Magnoliopsida; Asterales; Asteraceae. The record is from miRBase by way of RNAcentral.